UCAAUAUAAAUUGAUAUUAGGAUUUAUUUAUUAAUUUAUUAUGUUUAAUUAAUUAAUUAUUAAAAAUAAUUAUAUAAUUUAUAGUUUUAGUAAAUUUUAUUGAACUAAUUAUUUUAAUAAUAGUGUAUUAGUACUGUGAGGGAUUAUUGAAAUAAUUUGAAAAAUUUUUAAUAAUAAAGAAAAUUUAUUUUAUUGUACCUUGUGUAUCAGGGUGGAUUAAAUAAAUAAUAUUAAUUUUAUUAUUCUCGAUUUUAUAAGAGUUAAUUAUAUAUUUAAGUUAAUGUUUUAUAAUUAUUUAUAAUAUAUAGUUAGUAAUGAAAUGUUAUUCGUUUAUAAUGGUAUCUAGUUUUUUUAGAAAUGAAUUUAAUUCAUUAGUUUUUAAUUUUUAAUUUUAUUUUUUAAUUUAAAAAUUUAUAAACUACAAUAUUUUAAGGGAUAAGCUUUGAAAUAAAUAUUUAAAAAUUUAUUUUAUGUUUAAAAAUGUAUACAUAUAAUUUGUAAUCAUUUAUGAGUUUGUUAUAAAUUAUUAAUAAUUUAAUAUAAAAUUUAUUAAGUUUUAAGUUUUUAUGAAAAUUUUUUAUUUAUUUAUAAUAUAGAAUUAAUAAUGAUUUAAUUAGUUUAUUUUUUUAUAUAUAUAUAUAUAUAUAUUGUUUUGAUAUUUUUAUUUGGUAAGUUUAUAUAAAGAACUCGGCAAAUAAAUAUACUCGCCUGUUUAACAAAAACAUGUCUUUUUGUAAUUAAUUUAAAGUCUGACCUGCCCAAUGAUAGUAUUUAAUGGCCGCAGUAUUUUAACUGUGCAAAGGUAGCAUAAUCAUUAGUCUUUUAAUUGAAGGCUGGUAUGAAUGGUUGAACGAAGUAUAAUCUGUUUCAUAUAAAAUUAUAAUAUAAUUUUAUUUUUUAGUUAGAAAGCUAAAAUAUAUUUAAAAGACGAGAAGACCCUAUAAAUCUUUAUAUUUUUAUAUAUUUUAAUUUUAUAGAGUUAUUUUAUUAUUAAUUAUAAAAAUAUUUUAUUGGGGUGAUAUUAAAAUUUAAAUAACUUUUAAUUAAAUUUAACAUUGAUUUAUGAAUUAUUGAUCCUUUAUUAUGGAUUAUAAAAUUAAGUUACUUUAGGGAUAACAGCGUAAUUUUUUUGGAGAGUUCUUAUCGAUAAAAGAGAUUGCGACCUCGAUGUUGGAUUAAGAUAAAAUUUUAGGUGUAGCAGCUUAAAUUAUAAGUCUGUUCGACUUU
Molecule: ribosomal RNA, 1227 nt
Filed under: Rivellia flaviventris
Lineage: Eukaryota; Metazoa; Arthropoda; Insecta; Diptera; Platystomatidae
Description: partial 16S ribosomal RNA
Source: RNAcentral